Molecule: RNA transcript, 1707 nt
Organism: Lycium ferocissimum
Lineage: Eukaryota; Viridiplantae; Streptophyta; Magnoliopsida; Solanales; Solanaceae
Gene name: putative RNA methyltransferase At5g10620
Exons: 9
Source: RefSeq, a predicted model, not a curated record
CACAUACCAGCGACAGUUUAGAUAAGAUAAAUAAAUUCAGAGUUUUCACUUUUAUUUACCUAAAAUGGCAGUGUUGCCUCUAGCCAGUCUCAACUCCAAGCUUUCACUUCUUUCAGGAAAGCAACAGCAAUCCAAAUUUGCUGGCCAAUCAGUGAGAGCAAUACCUAUACGCAUAUUAACUGUGGGAAAGAAGCGGUCACAAGGAGUGCAGCUAAUAGUUGAUGAAUAUAUGAAGAAGCUUAAGCAGUAUUGUAGUGUUGAUGAUGUACGGAUUAAGUCUAAUCCUAAAAAUGCACGUGAUGUAGUGGCUCAAAUUGAACAUGAGGACAUUGCUGUUAUGGGCCUCAUCAAGCCUGAUGAUUGGGUUGUGAUGUUGGAUGAGCGUGGUCAUGAUGUGGAAUCUGAGCAGAUGGCUUCUUUAAUUGGGGAUGCAGGAAACAAGGGAGCAUCAAGCUUACUCUUUUGCAUAGGUGGACCUUAUGGACAUGGGAGACAAUUGCGAGAGAGAGCUAACAUAUCAAUCAAAUUAUCAUCUUUAAUCUUAAAUCAUGAGAUUGCCUUAGUUGUAUUGAUAGAGCAACUUUACAGAGCGUGGACCAUUCUUAAAGGACAGAAAUACCAUCACUAGACAAUGAUGUCUUAUCUAUGAUAAAGCAAUACUGGUACAGGGUCUCUAUUUCUUGGAAUUGGAAGAAGGAACUGAAAUGACUUCCAAAUUUCAUUCAACCACCAUCAGAGCAACUAAAGUCGGGUUUGGAGUACUUUUUGAGGAUGACCUUGAUCCCCAUUUAUAGAUAUCAGACGUGCCUAACCGCCCGCCUAAAGAGGAGGAGGUGGUUUCGACUCUGAGAUCUUAAGAAAUGUUGAUGCUUGACUUUGUUUACGGCACGGUCUAUGAAAUGGAAUGGCACUUCUAUUGUGUUGACGAGCCCGGCCCCAACAUAUUUUAGCCACUACAAUGAUUCAUUAUGCCAUCUUCACUAUUUUUAAUGAAGCCUUAGCUGAUCUUGACCAAGAAACCACUGGUUUCGCUUGGUGCGCCGGGAAUGCCCCGACUUAUCAAUUUAUCCCGCAUGGUUUAAACUCCCAACAUGACCAUCCAGGUUAAAUGGAUUCCACCAGAUAGGGGACAUUACAAACUAAACACAAAUGGGGCAUGUAAGGAAACCCGGGAUCUGGUGGAUUCGGAAGGGUGAUUAGGAAUAGCAAUGGUGACUGGAUAGUGGGAUUCACCAAGAGCUUACCCCUUGUUACAAACACAUACACUGAAAUUGCAGCAAUACUGUAAGGCCUCCCCAUUGAAGUGCAGCAGAACUUGAAACCAAUUGUAGUGGAAAGUGAUUCAGUUGAGGCAAUUCACAUGAUCAACAAUGGUCAUGAAAUUUACAGUGCUCUAAUUCAUGAAUGCAGAUUUAUGAUGAUGAAGCUAGGGAACCCCUUGAUCAGGCAUGUGUACAAGGAGCAGAACCAAGUGGCGGAUGCUCUAGCUAAAGCAGGGGCAAAGAAUCGGAAAGAAUCAGACUUUUGGUGCGACAAUGCAGAUGAUAGUUCCUCCGGUGUAUGCGAAUAGAAGUUUUUGGGCAGACAUGGAAGGAAUUACUUUUACAAGAAUUAUCAUUGUUUGUAACAUUGAUACUUUGGGUACUUUUGAUGAUGAUCGGAGGAACUCUCCGGCAAACAAUUUAGCUGCUAUAGCAGUGGUUUAAU